This is a long non-coding RNA of Bos taurus (domestic cattle), 1137 nucleotides long. The record is from Ensembl. Lineage: Eukaryota; Metazoa; Chordata; Mammalia; Artiodactyla; Bovidae.
AGUCACUUUAGUUGUGUCCAACUCUUUGUGAACCCAUGGAUUGUGGCCUACCAGGCUCCUCUGUCCAUGGGAUUUUCCCAGCAAGAAUACUGGAGUGUACUGCUAUGCCCACCUCCAGGGGAUCUUCCUGACCCAGGGAUGGAACCCAUGUCUCCUGCAUCUCCUGCAUUGCAGGUGGGUUCUUUGCUGCUGAGCCACCAGGGAAGCCAAAAAUUGAUUAACCCACCAUAUUAAUUCCAUAACCCACUAAUAGGUUGUGACUUGCAUUUUGCUAAGCACUGAUCUGCACAAGUCACUGAGGUUUCAUGUAUUAUCCAACUGACCAGGACAGCUGUCAAAUGUCUACCUCAUUUGGUGCAGUCUCCAAUAGGAAAACCUUGCCCACAAAAGGAGUUGAGGUGACCUCACUGAGUCUUCUCAGCAUCUUCACCAGGAGUAGAUUCCAUCCCAAGAAAUCACUGUCAAGCUUCCCUGGUGGCUCAGUGGUGAAAAAAAAAAAAAAAAAAAUCCACUUGCCAAUGCACGAGACACGGAUUUGAUCGCUGAUUCCAGGAAGAUGCCACAUGCCUUGGAGCAGCUAAGCCCGUGUAUACUACAGCUGUUGAGCCUGUGCUCUAGAGCCUGGGAGCUGCAACUAGUGAGCCCACGUGUCACAACUACUGAAACCUUCACGUCCUGGAGCCCAGGCUGUGCAACAAGAGCAGCCGCUGCAAUGAGGAACCCGAGCACCACAGCUAGAGAAAGCCCUUGGGCAGCAAUGAAGACCCAGCACAGCCAAGAAUCAAAUACAUAAUGAAAUAAAAUUGUUUUAGAAAGAAAUCACUUUCUUCCCUCAUUCAUAAGAAGCAACUCUUCACCCACUAAAAUUUUAAAUUGAUGUUACAGCAAUUUAGUCGCAUUGUCAGGCUGCAUUUCUAAUUCUGCUUCUCUUGCAGUUUUCAUCACAUCUGCAAUUACUUCCUCCACGGAAGUCUUGAACUCCUCAAAGUCAUCCAUGACUGUUGGAAUCAACUUCGUCUAAACUCCUGUUAAUGCUGAUAUUUUGACCUUUCCCCAUGAAUCACAAAUAUUCUUAAUGGCGUCUAGAAUGUUGAAUUCUUUCCAGAAGGUUUUCAAUUGAUUUUGCCCAGAUCCAUC